Cinara cedri is the source of this 281-nucleotide non-coding RNA. Lineage: Eukaryota; Metazoa; Arthropoda; Insecta; Hemiptera; Aphididae. The record is from the annotation of a GenBank genome assembly.
CCCGUAGAACGGUAGAAAAAAAACGAAAAAAGUAAAUAAAAACCGGAGAUAAUAUAUCGUGCGAUAAACCGACCGGCAAAAUAUCUCUAUCCGCCCUCCUUCUCUCCGCCACACGUAAACGACACGUAUAUAAUAACGACCGCAAGUAUACCGCGAAUAAAAUUAACUGUUAAAUAAUAUUAUUAUAAAAUAACAGUAUUAAAACUUUGCGUUGUGUACCACGCACAACAUUAUCUGGGACGGCGAAACCCGUAACGUAAUCGUUUACGGCAAAAUCUCGA